GCGAAUUCGUGUGAAACUGUCAGGCAGGCGGAUCUUCAUAGUACGGCAAACCCUUCGAAUAUCUCUCAUCACUUGCUAGUCUUUAUGCACCAAGGUGAGUGAUGUGCGGAUCUGUCCGGAGAGAAAGCCAGCCCCUUUCAAUCAUGCCGGGAGCUGCUGCAAAGUGAUAUGUUCUUGUGAACGAAUGCAGUACAAAAAACUGAAACGUGAAGUAAUAAAAGUUGAUCACAAAAGGUAAUGCUUCUAACCAAUUAUUGCAAUUGGGAUAAUCGCUGGCUGCCAAAUUUUGAGUUAAACGAAUGAAUACAAUUUGUCAAGUAUUUUCCAUUGAGUAUUACGUUUAUUUAUAUGUAUAGAUACCUUAGAGGUAGUGGACAAGUUCGCUCUGCUUUUGGGUGAACCUGGUAUCCAGAAGGAGGCUAACGCCGGUAAUAGAUAGACCAAUAUCGCACUCUUCACCAAACAAAUAAGCGGACCAAGUGCAGCACGAUUUGAAGAGUUUAGGUUGUCGUCGAGGAUGGAAAGAGGCAGCAGCUGAACGAGUUUGCUGGGAACACGUGUUGUUCAUGAGAUUUUAUCUAAUAUCAAUAAAUACAUAAAGUAAUUUUGCGACAGAUCUCAUGUUCCCAAAUAUUAGAUUCUUGUCCGAUGGCUGGGCUGUGCAUGCAUCCACUUCCAUGUUCUCCGCGUGUCUCUAUUAUAAAAUCGUCUCUGGGUUACUGUAGCUUCGAGAAAGACCUCAAGCAAAGCGCAAAUUGGUUGAUGCGCAAUGGUCGCGACGGCACACGUCGCCAUAGAGCGUCGUUAUGCUUUGAUUAGGUACUGCACACGACCCCACUGCAAACAGCAGUGCUUCCUCGUCAUCAUCAAGUGCAUUUCAUCAACCAUCUCAAGCAGCGAUAUAACUAUAGGUACAGCACUGCGAGUGCUUCUCAUGCGUUUCCCUCAACGAUGCCAAGUCCGUGUGAACAACCGCUGAAUGGCUAUAAAAGUGUCACACCUCGAUUGGGGCGGCAUCAUUCGGGUUGUUGCAGUGCGCUCUAGAUAACGAGGCGAAAAGUGAUAACAGUCGGAUCAGAAGUUCGUGCCGAAGUAGAGAAGACCAGCCAAUUGAAAAUGCCGUGCAAGUGUUGUGGUAAUGAUUGCAAGUGCACCUCUGCCUGCGGACAGGGCAAAUCCUGUGACGCCGGAUGCAACUGCAACUGUGCCAGCAAAAAAGAAACAGGAAAAGACUGCUGUGAAUCGGGAAGCUGCAAAAAGUGAAAUAACAAUUAGGUAGUUUUCUAAUUGUCCCUAAUCAAGUAUGAUUUGUGUAAGAUAUUCUAAUUAAUGCUUGAACAAGCAAGAUUAGUGUAAGUUUUUGUAACGCUGGAUCGGUCAUAAUAGAAUAAUUUCGACAAAUUAA
Long non-coding RNA from Armigeres subalbatus, 1405 nucleotides. RefSeq lists it as uncharacterized. The transcript is spliced from 2 exons. Lineage: Eukaryota; Metazoa; Arthropoda; Insecta; Diptera; Culicidae. The record is from RefSeq and is a predicted model, not a curated record.